RNAcentral lists this ribosomal RNA (292 nucleotides) under uncultured bacterium. RNAcentral's name for it is "partial 16S ribosomal RNA". It matches the Rfam family "Bacterial small subunit ribosomal RNA", at positions 505 to 796 of the family's 1533-position model. The record is from RNAcentral.
GUGUCAGCAGCCGCGGUAAAACGUAGGAGGCGAGCGUUAUCCGGAUUCACUGGGCGUAAAGCGCGUGUAGGUGGCUUGCCAAGUCGAGUGUUAAAGCCCCUGGCCUAACUGGGGGAGGCCACUCGAUACUGGCAGACUUGAGGGUAAGAGAGGAAAGCGGAACUCCCGGUGUAGCGGUGGAAUGCGUAGAUAUCGGGAAGAACACCAGUGGCGAAGGCGGCUUUCUGGCUUACCUCUGACACUGAGACGCGAAAGCGUGGGGAGCAAACGGGAUUAGAUACCCUGGUAGUCC